UACGGCGGGGGCUAGCGUUGUUCGGAAUUACUGGGCGUAAAGCGCGUGUAGGCGGGCCGGUAAGUCGGGGGUGAAAGCCCAGAGCUCAACUCUGGAAUUGCCUUCGAUACUGGCGGCCUGGAGCAUGAUAGAGGCGAGUGGAAUUGCGAGUGUAGAGGUGAAAUUCGUAGAUAUUCGCAGGAACACCAGUGGCGAAGGCGACUCGCUGGAUCAUUGCUGACGCUGAGACGCGAAAGCGUGGGGAGCAAACAGG
RNAcentral lists this ribosomal RNA (253 nucleotides) under uncultured bacterium. Its description in RNAcentral is "partial 16S ribosomal RNA". It matches the Rfam family "Bacterial small subunit ribosomal RNA", at positions 524 to 776 of the family's 1533-position model. The record is from RNAcentral.